AUAUCUUUUGCCAGUUUGUCACAUGGAUGUUCUGUUGUAGUGAGUAUAAACCUGAACACAUAUGCUAUCAUCAUGCCAUAAGACUAAAACAAUUAUAUUUAGCGCGCUCACACCCUCGCGGCGGCCGCCGCGCGAUCGCCGGGCCCUCCCGGUUCCCCGGGCCAAGCACACGCCGAACGGGAAGACGCGCGCGGCGGCCGAACUGGCCCCUCAACUCCUCGCAGGGGCGGAGGUGGGUAAAGAGAGAAAAGUCCCCAAAAGAUUUGGGGAAGGAGUUCUCCGCCUCUCGCAGAGGAGUUAUAGUUCCCAGGCUGGAGAGUCUCUCUCUCCCUCUCUCUCGCUCUCUCACCGCGCUGCAGUUUGCUGUCUCUCGGCUGAGUCUGGAGACCGUGCUAAAGUAGAGAGGAGUUUCUCGAAUGCUGGUUGCUGAAGCUUCCAAUGCAAGUUUCUCGCGGCCUCCCAGGCAAGU
This 469-nucleotide long non-coding RNA is filed under the name Homo sapiens (human). RNAcentral's name for it is "non-protein coding lnc-PRL-13:1". Lineage: Eukaryota; Metazoa; Chordata; Mammalia; Primates; Hominidae. The record is from RNAcentral.